Non-coding RNA from Streptococcus urinalis 2285-97, 99 nucleotides. NCBI's taxonomy places the organism in Bacteria, Bacillati, Bacillota, Bacilli, Lactobacillales, Streptococcaceae. The record is from Rfam.
CAUUCGUUAGUUUAAAUCAAACCUGUUAUGAUUUAAGGUUGCGAAUCACCGCUAACCACAUUGUUUGCUGAGCUAGACUCCGAGCAGUGUGGUUUUUAU